Molecule: ribosomal RNA, 550 nt
Filed under: Bifidobacterium longum subsp. infantis
Lineage: Bacteria; Bacillati; Actinomycetota; Actinomycetes; Bifidobacteriales; Bifidobacteriaceae
Description: bacterial SSU rRNA
Rfam family: Bacterial small subunit ribosomal RNA
Source: RNAcentral
CUCCUGGAAACGGGUGGUAAUGCCGGAUGCUCCAGUUGAUCGCAUGGUCUUCUGGGAAAGCUUUCGCGGUAUGGGAUGGGGUCGCGUCCUAUCAGCUUGACGGCGGGGUAACGGCCCACCGUGGCUUCGACGGGUAGCCGGCCUGAGAGGGCGACCGGCCACAUUGGGACUGAGAUACGGCCCAGACUCCUACGGGAGGCAGCAGUGGGGAAUAUUGCACAAUGGGCGCAAGCCUGAUGCAGCGACGCCGCGUGAGGGAUGGAGGCCUUCGGGUUGUAAACCUCUUUUAUCGGGGAGCAAGCGAGAGUGAGUUUACCCGUUGAAUAAGCACCGGCUAACUACGUGCCAGCAGCCGCGGUAAUACGUAGGGUGCAAGCGUUAUCCGGAAUUAUUGGGCGUAAAGGGCUCGUAGGCGGUUCGUCGCGUCCGGUGUGAAAGUCCAUCGCUUAACGGUGGAUCCGCGCCGGGUACGGGCGGGCUUGAGUGCGGUAGGGGAGACUGGAAUUCCCGGUGUAACGGUGGAAUGUGUAGAUAUCGGGAAAGAACACCA